Molecule: long non-coding RNA, 258 nt
Organism: Octopus sinensis (East Asian common octopus)
Lineage: Eukaryota; Metazoa; Mollusca; Cephalopoda; Octopoda; Octopodidae
Exons: 3
Source: RefSeq, a predicted model, not a curated record
CUGCAGAUGUGCCUGGAACAGUGAGGGGAAAUCAUCGAAUCACCAUCCGUGAGUAAUCAGAAGAUGUGCAGAUUAGGUACGGUUCAGUUCAAUCCAUUAUCACUGGAGAUUUUGGUAUGAGACGCGCGUCUGCCAAGUUUGUGCCAAAACUGCUUUCAACUGACCAAAAAAGACACUUAGGUUUCAGUUGCACAUGAUCUCCUUGAUUAUGUCGAGAACGAUUAAAAGUUUUUGAAAACGUAGCAUAAAACUCUGAGA